RNAcentral lists this ribosomal RNA (115 nucleotides) under Vogesella sp. EB. The record is from RNAcentral. Lineage: Bacteria; Pseudomonadati; Pseudomonadota; Betaproteobacteria; Neisseriales; Chromobacteriaceae.
UUUCUGGUGACCAUAGCGAAGUAGUACCACGCCUUCCCAUUCCGAACAGGACCGUGAAAUACUUUAGCGCCGAUGAUAGUGCCCAUUGCGGGUGUGAAAGUAGGACAUUGCCAGA